GUCGCAGGGCCACGCCGGGGCUGCGGGGGCCUGGCCAUCACGCCCGGCCUACCUCCGGGCUCCUAGCGCCGGGAGAUUCCAGCUCAGGGCUGGAGCCGGAGGCGUCGGAAAGGAGGCGGAGCUGCCUGCGCUCACCCGCCAGGCUCCUCCCUCACAGCGAGCUCUCUGAGUGAGCAUCCAGGGCUUCAGUGGGGAGCAGGGCGAAAAAGAGUUGCAGAGUGGGUGGGUGGCAGGGAGGGAACCUGUUAAAAUCGCAUGACGGGGUUGCUGCCUCUCUGAAGAGCAAGUGUGUUGUGAUCUGCUCUGGGCACUUCCCUGGGAGAGUUAGAAGGCUCUAAUAUCCACACAAAUGUUAGGUGCACAGAUAGCCAUGGAAGUCCUGGGGGUGCCUGGGGAUCUAGCUGACCCAGGCAUUCCCUAGUGAGCUGAAAUCCUUUGUUGUUGCCUGUGUGUGUGUGGGGCGGGGUUAGGGUUAGGAGUUUUGUCAUAUAGUCCAGACUGGCUUUAAAUUCAUAUAUUUUACAUAGAUGACCUUGAAAUUUUGCUUUGCCUAUUCCACCUCCUCAGAGGUAGGAUUCCAGGCAUGAACCAUCAUACUUGGCUUAUAUGGUUUCCGGAUCAAACGCAGGGCUUCAUGCUUGCUAAUUAAGUACUCCACUCUCUGAGGCAAAACCCCAGAGGACCAAGGGAUCUUAAUUCUAAUAAGACUGUCCUCGGGAAUUCGCUUCACAAAUGAGUAAGUGUGCCUCUGUAACAUAAGAUAAUUAGCUGUCACACAAACACCCAGCAAAACAGGGUGGGGGGGGGGGAGAUAUCUGAACCUGGGCCUGACUGAUCAGCCUCAGCCACCAGAACAGGAUUCUGAGCCUUCAGACACACAGCUGUCUUCUUCACUGGCAGCACCGAACAGAACCCGCAACCUCAACCUGGCAGAGGUCUCGGUCUUACCAGCAUGUCCCUCUGAAACCGACUGUAGUUUAGGUGGGUGAGGCACAGCAGAGGAAGCACGGUGUUCACGUGUAUGUGACCGUCCCCUGAUACCUGUCAUCAUCCUGCUGAAGAGCUCAUGUGUAUACACGUGUGGUCCCGUGUACAAUGUGCAUACAUGUGUAUCUGUGAGGAGGGACACUUCUGUGGGCAUGUGGGUGUGUGGGAGUUAUCUGUGCAUGGAUCUGUGUGUAUGUGUGGGUACUUCUGUGGAUCUGGAGGAGCCGUUCACCUUCUGCACUACAGGCUCAACCUAGACCGUAGAUCUGGGGUACUGCGUCUACUCAGUUCCGUAGAAAAUCUUGGGUACCACGUUUCCCCCUACCCCCACAUUCCUCAAAGGGUUUUAUGAACAUGGUGGUUUGAAAAAGAUGUCUCCCGUUGUCUUGGGGAAUGUGAAUACUUGAUCUCCAUUUGACAGCACUAUUCUGGGAAGCUGAGGAGGUGUGGCCUUGUUGGAGGAAUUGUCACUAGAGGUGGCUUUCUCUAUGCUUCCCUCUUAGAGUCUGAGACAUGAGCUCUCAGCAGUCCUUGCUGCAAGUCUGCCACCUGCUGCCUUAAUUCUCUCUCCCCUGGAACCAUAGGUUCAAACAAACUUCUUCCUUCUAAAAGUUGCCUUGGUCAUGGCGUUUCAUCGCAGCAGCAGAAGACUAAUGCAGGUGGACAUUAGAAGACAUCCAAGGGCCACUGCCAUUCCAUUUCUAACUUUCCUCUAAGGCUGGGGACCUGCCAUCUACUGGAGUGAGGCUGGGACUUGUAGUCCCACAGAGAGAAGGUAAGCCUCUGCAUCCCCAGGUACCUUAGCGUAGCAGGCCGAAGUACUGGAGGGUCGACGGCACUGAAACCAAACAUUCCAUCUUUGAACUACAUCCUUUAAGACUCGGGAGGUAAACAAAAUUUAGAAAACCCAGUAAGUGUAUAACUCACAGUUCUCAAAAAGUUCCUAAAACAUAUGAGAUUCACAAGGCCCCUCCCGAGGGUUACGUAAGGAAUGACAAUUGCCGAGAAGAGGAGCCUCUGACCAGUUGAGCUGCCCACAAAUCCUGCAGAGAGCUCCAGGAUGCAACUGUCUUGAGAGUCAUCACGCAUGCUGGGCCUUCCAGUGAUGCACCUGCCUUUGAGUCAGUUAUGCUCGUAUGCAUAACCCAGUGAACUCACUCAUUUACUAAGCUAGUCCUGGGUUUCUUUGUUUUGUUCUCAGUACCCCAUCUGAGGCGAGUAUAUGUUUGCUCCCCUCCGAUCCUGGGGUAAAGUCACACAACAGCACUCUGUUCACUGCUAUGCCAGACCCAGAGAGGACCAAGCCCAGCUACGAGCAUGACCUUCACCUCAUGAUGGCAGCAGAACCACAAGGAAGCAUGAAAUGGAACAAAAGGCCCUUGGGUUUGGGCUGGGUUAAGAACUAUGUGGUGAUACAACCCUACCCAGGAGCCAGGGGAAGACAGAGACACUUGGAGCCAGAGGUCAGCUGAUGCCAUAGUGAGGUGGCCUUGGGUCCUGCAGAACCUUCACGUGAGUCACAAGUGCCGGGGGAGAUGGUAAGCACCCUUGGGAGACAAAAUGCCCUGAGACAACUCUGCUUCCCACCGCUGUGUUGAUCCCCUGAUUGACAGCAUUCUUGCUUACCCUUUGAGAUGGCACAUUCUAUGGCUGUCCUGUGUCUGUCUGCCUCCUAGCUUGGGCUUUUGGCAGGAUGGCGUAGAAGCCAUCUGUACUCUGCUUCUACCCUAGAAUUGAAGGAUCCAAGCAGCUAUGGGCACAGGUAACAAAGGGAACCCUGGCCUCCCAGUGUUCUCCUCUGUGUGGGGAGCAGCUGGAACUAAGGGGACGUGUCAGCCGUGGCCCGACCCAGAGGGUACAGGCUGCCAUGCACAGGUGGUAAGGGGUUUACAGGAGACCGUAGGUCCCUCACCCACCUCUCCCCAGAUCCCUGCAAGCACAGUAGAACUGAAACAUAGUGGAGAUGAGGCCACGGUGGGUGGUUGUAGGAAGAAAGGGCUGUAUGAAGAGCCACAGACAGACACUUGCUACUUUUGCCAGUAUGGAAAAAUCCUUGUGCUGAGGAUGGACUCAUGCCAGGUAGCAGGCAUGGCAGUGAAGCCUAGUACGGCUGAGCAAGGUAGGAAGCACAGGCAUGCCCAGGCCCAAGCCCAUGGGCAUCUAGAGAAGGCUCUAUACUGGAUAACGCUGUAGGAGAGAGACACUUGCAGGAAGCUGAGGACGAUUAACUGCUUCAUUUGCUGACUCAUCCUGCAGGUGUUGGGCAGUCCCAAGGGACCUGGGACAAGUGUGUGAAAAGAAUACAGGAGGCCUAAGACCCUGCGCCACCUUCUCAUGCUCCUCACAUGAAAAGGCAGGCAUCGUAUACACAGCCCACUCCUGCAUGCUCAGCUCUUUGCAAGAAGGACUGGGCCUUCUACACAUCUGCACGCUAUACCUACAGUGUGCACGGCAGUCACUCCCCAGGAGUACUGGUGCCCCACUGAGGUGACUGUGGAGAGUGUACCCCAGUAAGGAGGAAGCCUUUCCCCUGCACAGCCCACUGCAUCACUGCAAGGAGCUCCCAUCCCUGACUGGCUGUCCCCUGGAAGACCUUGAGCCAACAAAGAAGCAAACUAUUUAAGGAGUAAGCAAUUGGUGCUUAGAGAACGCCUCAGGACACCACACUGCUCGUCUUCUCCUCAAAGGCCCUUCCCAUACGCACACAUGCUGGCUCGCGGGCCCCUGCAUGUGUGCACCACCUGCGCCUCAAAACUUCCCGGUUCUUAUAUGGUAGCCCUGGCUCUGGGGACCCCUUAGCCGCAGUUCUGUGCCUGCUGUUCUUGUCUACCACCAAAGAGCUCAGAAACUCAAGAUGUGCCCUUCCAAAGUUUCACCCUGGGAAGGAAAUGCCUAGCUGUAAGACACAAGAACCCCAGCAGUGUGGCAUGGCAGGACAGUCAAGGAGCCUGCCCGCGGGCUUCUCUGUGUCUUUUCACUAUGGUUGCCAUUAUUGAGACCUACUCAGGACCGGCCACAGCAAGCUAUGGUCAUCUUUCCAGUCUGUCCCCAUGUCGUGUCCUGGUCAUCUUGUAUCGGAGUGAAGGAACGUUCAGUUGCCUCCUCCACACUCCAUACCACACACAGGGUGUCUGGGAUCCUUUCCUGGCUCUGAGGAAGGUGAGGAAGACAGCCUGGUUCUCUAAAGCAAAGCCUGACCAUCAUCUCUGGAUUCCGUCUACAAGGCAGAUGAGAAUGCUCCAUCGAAAAAGUUCAUGAGGGUCAGUUCUGGAGAGAGGCUGGGGGCUGGGAGUAGAGCUUUGUGGGAUAGCAUGCACCUAGCAUUUCCAAGGCCCUAGGUUCAAGACCCCCCUCCCCACACAUA
Myodes glareolus (Bank vole) is the source of this 4351-nucleotide non-coding RNA. Lineage: Eukaryota; Metazoa; Chordata; Mammalia; Rodentia; Cricetidae. The record is from RefSeq and is a predicted model, not a curated record.